RNAcentral lists this long non-coding RNA (1895 nucleotides) under Mus musculus (house mouse). RNAcentral's name for it is "predicted gene, 36266 (Gm36266)". Lineage: Eukaryota; Metazoa; Chordata; Mammalia; Rodentia; Muridae. The record is from RNAcentral.
CUCUAGCCCACGGCUCGACUUCCUUCAGGAGGAAAGGCUAAGAAGAGGGGUUCAGCUCUCGGGAGUCGAGGUGUCUGGGCCAGCCCCUCCAGCAGCCCUCUGCAACAUGUCCAGUGCCUCCCAGAAGAAAUCUUUCUGGGCAGCCAUCAAGGGCAUCCAGCCCACAAUCUCCUUCAUCUUCUCCAUUCGGUCCUGCAACGUGGGGCAACUGUGGAUCUGGCUGAGACUUUGGAGAGAAGGGAGGUUAAGUCCCGUGGUCCACCUGGCUCUAGUGUUCUACCCUCCCUGAGGCCUGCCUGCUUGCCCGACCCUGCUCUGACCUUGAUGUGCAGCUUGACGAAGGAGGCGCUCCCCUUGGGCCAGCCAGGAAGACGGCCUCCGGCCCCACAGCCGCACCCCAGCAGCUCCUUGCUGAAAUCCGAGGUCUGACUCAGCACCAAGGAAUGGUUGAGGCCACACCACAGGGCGAUGGGGCGUUGCAGAUAGUGAACCUGAGAACGGACAGACAACAUGGCCAGGGGGGUUAAGGUGGGAAUACUAGAGGCCUGGAGGGAAGUGGGGAUCCCAGGUUGGAGAAAGGCUGAAUGGAAGGCUUGGGGCAGAGUGCAGUCUUGGGAGCUGGAGGAAAAGCAGGUCCUGUCCCAGAAAGUCCACCCUGCCCUGAAAGCUGGCAGCUAUCUGUCCAUUCCUGUGCACACAAAGUCUCCCAGAGGCUACAGGGCACUCAACUCCCCAGGACAAGACCAGCUGCCGGGGAACCUGCACACGUUUGCACACACACAUGCAUUCUUGCACAUGCACACACACACACACACACACACACACACACACACACACACACACACACACACACAGAAUAAAAAUACAAAAUACCAAGCAAGGGACAAUUUAAAGGUCAAUCAGGCAUGGGGACGCAGAGGGAUUAAAGUGACUUCCAGUCCAAAUCAGGUUACACAGUGAGCGUUUGUCUCCAAAAAUCCAACUGGAAAGCCCACCACGAACUACUAACUUCUCUAUGGCUGUUCUAUAGUACAGACACAGGUGAACAUACGUGUGUGGUGUUCAGAGGGGCAAUUGUAGCUGUUAUGCUAAGGCCUAGUCUCCCGGGACUCUGAGACAACCUGGAGACUCCUCUGCCUCCCCGUAGCUGGGACUGUAAUCAUGCAUUAUUGUGCCUGGCUUUUUAAAACAAACAAACAAACAAACAAACAAGCAAACCAACCCACCACAUGAUUUCUGGGAAUCAAAUUCAGAUCCUCUUACUAGCAAAGCAAGCCCUGUGCUAAGAUUGCCUUUAUUGUUUCCCUAAAUAAACAGUUUUAUAAGCAGUACUGGGAUUGAAUCUAGUCUCCUGGGUGCCAGACAAGCACUCUGUUACUCAAGUGCGCCCGCAACUCAUUUUUCACUUUUCAUUUUGAGACACAGACUUGAUACAUAACCAGGCUGGCUCUAAGCUCAGUGUAAUGCUGGCUGGCUUUUGGGGGGCUGGAGAGUUGGCUCAGUGGUUAAGAGCACUGACUGCUCUUCUGAAGAUACUGAGUUCAAAUCCCAGCAACCACAUGGUGGCUCACAACCAUUGGUAAUGAGAUCUGACACCCUCUUCUGGUGUGUCUAAAGACAGUUACAGUGUCCUUAUAUUUAAUAAUAAAUAAGUCUUUAAAAAAAAAAAAAAGAGCACUGACUGCUCUUCCAAAGGUCCUGAGUUCAAAUCUUAGCAACCACAUGGUGGCUCACAACCAUCUGUAAUGGAAUCCUAUGCCCUCUAGUGGUGUGUCUAGAGACAGCAACGAUGUACUCACACACAUAAAAUAAAUAAAACCUUAAAAAAAAAUGGAUCUUUUCCCCUUCCCUCUGGCCUGAUUAAACAUUCUGUGUUUUUAAUAAAUGAGGUGAUU